GGUGGCGUGCUUAACACAUGCAAGUCGAACGAGAAAGUUUCCUUCGGGAAAUUAGUAAAGUGGCGCAAGGGUGAGUAUCACGUGAAUAAUCUGCCCUCGAGAUCGGGAUAACAUGGUGAAAACUAUGCUAAUACCGGAUAAGACCACAUUUCAUAAGAAAUGCGGUAAAAGGAGUCUCAAUCUUCACUCGAGGAUGAGUUCGCGCAACAUUAGCUUGUUGGUGAGAUAAAAGCUCACCAAGGCUACGAUGUUUAGCCGGCCUGAGAGGGUGAACGGCCACACUGGAACUGAGACACGGUCCAGACUCCUACGGGAGGCAGCAGUGGGGAAUAUUGCGCAAUGGGCGAAAGCCUGACGCAGCAACGCCGUGUGAGCGAUGAAGGCUUUAGGGUCGUAAAGCUCUGUCAAAUGGGAAGAAUUUUGACGGUACCAUUAGAGGAAGCCCCGGCUAACUCCGUGCCAGCAGCCGCGGUAAUACGGAGGGGGCAAGCGUUGUUCGGAAUUAUUGGGCGUAAAGCGUAUGUAGGCGGCUAGAUAAGUCAGGCGUGCAAGCCCGUGGCUCAACCACGGAAUUGCGUUUGAGACUGUUUAGCUUGAGUACAGGAGAGGAAAGCGGAAUUCCCAGUGUAGCGGUGAAAUGCAUUGAUAUUGGGAAGAACAUCUGUGGCGAAGGCGGCUUUCUGGUCUGUUACUGACGCUGAGAUACGAAAGCCAGGGUAGCGAACGGGAUUAGAUACCCCGGUAGUCCUGGCUGUAAACGAUGGGCACUAGGUGCAGGAGGUUUCGAUCCCCUCUGUGCCGUAGCUAACGCGUUAAGUGCCCCGCCUGGGGAGUACGGUCGCAAGCUA
RNAcentral lists this ribosomal RNA (848 nucleotides) under Nitrospina sp. SCGC AAA008-D05. RNAcentral describes it as "SSU rRNA". It matches the Rfam family "Bacterial small subunit ribosomal RNA", at positions 38 to 896 of the family's 1533-position model. Lineage: Bacteria; Pseudomonadati; Nitrospinota; Nitrospinia; Nitrospinales; Nitrospinaceae. The record is from RNAcentral.